Molecule: ribosomal RNA, 182 nt
Filed under: Yersinia enterocolitica
Lineage: Bacteria; Pseudomonadati; Pseudomonadota; Gammaproteobacteria; Enterobacterales; Yersiniaceae
Description: partial 16S ribosomal RNA
Rfam family: Bacterial small subunit ribosomal RNA
Source: RNAcentral
AAAUUGAAGAGUUUGAUCAUGGCUCAGAUUGAACGCUGGCGGCAGGCCUAACACAUGCAAGUCGAGCGGCAGCGGGAAGUAGUUUACUACUUUGCCGGCGAGCGGCGGACGGGUGAGUAAUGUCUGGGAAACUGCCUGAUGGAGGGGGAUAACUACUGGAAACGGUAGCUAAUACCGCAUAA